GAUUUGGGGGCUGUGACAGGGGUGUUUGCCCAUAUGACGACGGGGCCUGUGGCCUGGAUACCCGGGCAGGUGACGAUGAGGUUCAGAAACCAGAUCUCAUGGGGCGUCCGGCAGCUGAGUCUCAGGCCAGCUCUGCAGUGAGUGUGGUGUCCCAGGCCUGGAACACUCUGGUACCAUCUGGAUGCCAUGCUGGGUGCGCCCAGGAGCUCUGGGUUUGAAACAGAGGUCAGAGGUCACUGACAUGUGGAGGAGCCUCCGGAGAGUGGGUGACAGAGCCUCAGGUGUCAGGCUUGGCGGGAGGCUUUGCAGGGCUGAGCGGAUGGGGAGGAAAGGCAGGGAGUGUGGCUGCCAGAGGGCAGAGGGGGAGGCUGGGACUGGGCGAAACUGCUUGCAGGAGACACCCGAGGAAACUGGCAGGGCUGCGGGCACUCCUGGGAGCAGGAGGAGGGCGGCCUGUCCUGGGCAGACCAGGCUCUCCGGCCUUUGUGGCCCCAGCUCCCUGAGCCCAGAGGGAGGCCAGGGCAGGAAGGCCCAGACCAGGGAGGACCCAGCCCCCAGGUCAGAACCUCCCAAGGACGCACAAGGCCAGGCAGCUGAGGAUGGGACCGUUCUCUGCAUCUGCAGGGAGGAUGGAGGUGGCCAUGGCAGCAAGGGAACAGGGCCGAGGGGAGGCCAGCCCAGGGAGGAUGUUGGCGGCCAUGGACGCCCGUUCAGUGUCCUAAAGGAGGACGCCCCGAGCUUUGUCAGCCUGGGCAGCCUGAGACCCCAGCGAGACCUGCAGAACAUUACAGCAAAGUGAAGGAGAGCCAGAGGAAGAGGCAGAUGGGCUGUCCUGUAAACAGUCUGAUUUCCAAUGUAAACCAGAUUCGGGCCCACGACAUCAGGUAAACAUCUGCAUCUGAGCCCCCGGCCCCCCACCGCCCGGGAGGCCCCGGGGUCCACAUGGCCGACUCUGGGACCCGUCACAGUGACCGCCGAGACAUUUCGUAAUUGGGCAAAAUUGAUCCUUGCAUUCCUUCCCUAAAUCCCAAAUCUCUGCAAUUUUACUUCUUCUCAAAAAUGAAAACAUUUGGCAAUUAGCUGAUCCAAGUGAAAAAGGUAGAGAAUGUUCUCUCAACUGGAAAAUGCCAAUUAAGGAAGCGGCCCUGACUUCCCACCGCCCUGGCUAAGCUGGGAGCUUAUCUUCCCCGGGAGGAAUCUGCUGGGAUAAGGGGCUUGGGAAACACGGAGGGCAGGGCUGCCUCUGCAGCUUCCUCUGAGAGCAGAUUAGCCGUGGCCUUGCGCCAGCAGGGCCUGGGUGCCACACGGGGUGGCGGGGGGCGGCAGAGCUGUGGCGCUGGGAUUUGGGGUGGUGGGACCCAACGAGGCACAGGCUUGUGGGCGGCACGGAGGGCGGUGACAUAGGCAGUGGGUGCCCGUGUCUGUCCCCGGCUCUCCGGGCUCCCCGCCCUGCUCCUGCAGCCCUGGACCUCAGGGCCCAUUUUCGGUGCCAGGGGGCUCUUGUCUGGUCUCCACUCCUCCACAUUUAUUUAUUGAAAAUGCUGAUUUGUUUGUUUUCUGGUAUUGCACUUAUUUGUUCUAGAUGUCUGUCUAUUUAUUGAAUUAAUUUUUAAAUGU
Molecule: long non-coding RNA, 1617 nt
Organism: Sapajus apella (tufted capuchin)
Lineage: Eukaryota; Metazoa; Chordata; Mammalia; Primates; Cebidae
Exons: 2
Source: RefSeq, a predicted model, not a curated record